RNAcentral lists this ribosomal RNA (1444 nucleotides) under uncultured organism. Its description in RNAcentral is "16S ribosomal RNA". It matches the Rfam family "Bacterial small subunit ribosomal RNA". The record is from RNAcentral.
CAGGCUUAACACAUGCAAGUCGAGGGGCAGCAUUUUAGUUUGCUUGCAAACUGAAGAUGACGACCGGCGCACGGGUGAGUAACACGUAUCCAACCUGCCGAUAACUCCGGAAUAGCCUUUCGAAAGAAAGAUUAAUACCGGAUAGCAUACGAAUAUCGCAUGAUAUUUUUAUUAAAGAAUUUCGGUUAUCGAUGGGGAUGCGUUCCAUUAGUUUGUUGGCGGGGUAACGGCCCACCAAGACAACGAUGGAUAGGGGUUCUGAGAGGAAGGUCCCCCACAUUGGAACUGAGACACGGUCCAAACUCCUACGGGAGGCAGCAGUGAGGAAUAUUGGUCAAUGGGCGAGAGCCUGAACCAGCCAAGUAGCGUGAAGGAUGAAGGCUCUAUGGGUCGUAAACUUCUUUUAUAUGGGAAUAAAGUUUUCCACGUGUGGAAUUUUGUAUGUACCAUAUGAAUAAGGAUCGGCUAACUCCGUGCCAGCAGCCGCGGUAAUACGGAGGAUCCGAGCGUUAUCCGGAUUUAUUGGGUUUAAAGGGAGCGUAGGUGGAUUGUUAAGUCAGUUGUGAAAGUUUGCGGCUCAACCGUAAAAUUGCAGUUGAAACUGGCAGUCUUGAGUACAGUAGAGGUGGGCGGAAUUCGUGGUGUAGCGGUGAAAUGCUUAGAUAUCACGAAGAACUCCGAUUGCGAAGGCAGCUCACUAGACUGUCACUGACACUGAUGCUCGAAAGUGUGGGUAUCAAACAGGAUUAGAUACCCUGGUAGUCCACACAGUAAACGAUGAAUACUCGCUGUUUGCGAUAUACAGUAAGCGGCCAAGCGAAAGCAUUAAGUAUUCCACCUGGGGAGUACGCCGGCAACGGUGAAACUCAAAGGAAUUGACGGGGGCCCGCACAAGCGGAGGAACAUGUGGUUUAAUUCGAUGAUACGCGAGGAACCUUACCCGGGCUUAAAUUGCAACAGAAUAUAUUGGAAACAGUAUAGCCGUAAGGCUGUUGUGAAGGUGCUGCAUGGUUGUCGUCAGCUCGUGCCGUGAGGUGUCGGCUUAAGUGCCAUAACGAGCGCAACCCUUAUCUUUAGUUACUAACAGGUGAUGCUGAGGACUCUAGAGAGACUGCCGUCGUAAGAUGUGAGGAAGGUGGGGAUGACGUCAAAUCAGCACGGCCCUUACGUCCGGGGCUACACACGUGUUACAAUGGGGGGUACAGAAGGCGGCUACCUGGUGACAGGAUGCUAAUCCCAAAAACCUCUCUCAGUUCGGAUCGAAGUCUGCAACCCGACUUCGUGAAGCUGGAUUCGCUAGUAAUCGCGCAUCAGCCAUGGCGCGGUGAAUACGUUCCCGGGCCUUGUACACACCGCCCGUCAAGCCAUGAAAGCCGGGGGUACCUGAAGUACGUAACCGCAAGGAGCGUCCUAGGGUAAAACUGGUAAUUGGGGCUAAGUCGUA